UAGGGAAUCUUCCACAAUGGGCGCAAGCCUGAUGGAGCAACACCGCGUGAGUGAAGAAGGUUUUCGGAUCGUAAAACUCUGUUGGUAGAGAAGAACGUUGGUGAGAGUGGAAAGCUCAUCAAGUGACGGUAACUACCCAGAAAGGGACGGCUAACUACGUGCCUG
Molecule: ribosomal RNA, 165 nt
Filed under: uncultured bacterium
Lineage: Bacteria
Description: partial 16S rRNA
Rfam family: Bacterial small subunit ribosomal RNA
Source: RNAcentral